Molecule: ribosomal RNA, 2625 nt
Filed under: Drosophila persimilis
Lineage: Eukaryota; Metazoa; Arthropoda; Insecta; Diptera; Drosophilidae
Description: eukaryotic LSU rRNA
Rfam family: Eukaryotic large subunit ribosomal RNA (bases 1364-2625)
Source: RNAcentral
ACCCUUAACUCGGAUAAAUGUUUUACAGUUGGAAUAAAGGGGCAACCGAAACAGAAGUGUACUGUGGUCAUCCCAGAGACCUUCCGUAUCGGUUCGCGCUCGUGUCCUGCAUUGAAGCGCACAGACGAGUGGAAGUAUUUAGGCAUAACAUUCACUGCACAAGGGAGGACCAGGUACAGUCCAGCCGACGACCUAGGUCCGAAGCUGUUGAGGCUGACAAGGUCCCCCCUAAAACCACAACAGAAAUUGUUCGCACUCAGAACAGUUCUUAUCCCACAACUUUACCAUAAGCUGACCCUAGGUAGUGUGAUGAUAGGUGUUCUGAGAAAGUGUGACAUACUGGUACGUUCGACCGUAAGGAAGUGGUUAGGGCUUCCUCUGGACGUGUCAACUGCAUUCUUCCAUGCUCCUCAUACUUAUGGGGGCCUCGGAAUCCCUUCAGUUCGUUGGGUAGCGCCAAUGCUACGUAUGAAAAGAUUGAGCAAUAUUAAGUGGGCCCACCUCGCGCAAUCCGAGGCGGCCAGCUCAUUUCUUACCGACGAAUUGAAUAAGGCCCGGGGUAGAACUCUGGCUGGACUGAAUGAGUUGACAUCGCGUACAGAGAUCGAAACGUACUGGGCGAACAGGUUGUAUAUGUCUGUUGAUGGUCGCGGCUUACGUGAAGCGGGACUUUUUCGUCCCCAACACGGCUGGGUGUGUCAGCCCACGCGUUUGCUAACAGGUCAAGAUUACCGAAACAGUAUCAAGCUGCGAAUAAAUGCCCUACCAUCGAGGUCUCGUACCACGAGGGGCAGAAAUGAAUUGGAACGGCAAUGUCGUGCAGGUUGUGAUGCUCCCGAAACAACAAACCACAUCCUGCAGAAUUGUUACCGUACGCAUGGGAGGCGGGUAGCAAGACAUAACUGUGUAGUCAAUAACCUUAAGAGGAUUCUUGAGGAGAAGGGCCACACAGUACACGUCGAACCAAGUUUGCAGCUGGAAACCUCGGUAAGUAAACCAGACCUGGUGUGUAUCCGUGACAAUCACGCUUGCGUGAUUGAUGCGCAGAUUAUAACGGAUGGACUGUUUCUCGACGAUGUGCACCAUCGCAAAGUUGAGAAAUAUAAAAGACCGGAAGUUAUAUCUGCACUGCGGAGAGAAUUCGGAGUGUCGGGCAACGUCGAAGUCCUAUCCGCGACGUUAAACUGGCGUGGGAUCUGGAGCAAUCAAUCCGUUAGAAGAUUGAUAGCAAAGGGUCUCAUCUCAUCCGGUGACAGCAAUGUCAUUAGCGCCAGAGUGGUAACAGGCGGACUAUAUUGCUUCAGACAGUUCAUGUAUCUCGCAGGUUACACUCGAGAUUGGACUUAGCCUAUACACUAUGUUGGAGAGAAGACGCUUGCUACCUAGGCAAAAUGUGAAAUUAGGUAUAAACAUCGUGGUUGUAAAACUUGAGGUGGGUUUUUAGUACGUAUGCGUGAUUACUUCGUAAUCAUGAAUCGUGCAUGCUAGUGGGGUUUGGCCUCCACUAGUAUCUUUGAAGAUUUUCCUUCCUCAGCGAUCAAAAAAAAAAAAAAAAAAAAAAAAAAAAAAUAGCCAAAUGCCUCGUCAUCUAAUUAGUGACGCGCAUGAAUGGAUUAACGAGAUUCCUACUGUCCCUAUCUACUAUCUAGCGAAACCACAGCCAAGGGAACGGGCUUGGAAUAAUUAGCGGGGAAAGAAGACCCUUUUGAGCUUGACUCUAAUCUGGCAGUGUAAGGAGACAUAAGAGGUGUAGCAUAAGUGGGAGAUAUUAGAUUUCGGUUUGGUAUCGACAAUGAAAUACCACUACUCUUAUUGUUUCCUUACUUACUUGAUUAAAUGGAACGUGUAUCAUUUCCUAGCCAUUAUACGGAUAUAUUUAUUAUAUCUUAUGGUAUUGGGUUUUGAUGCAAGCUUCUUGAUCAAAGUAUCACGAGUUUGUUAUAUAAUCGCAAACAAAUUCUUUAAUGAGAAAAUGCAUUUAUGUAUUUUCAAUUUGAAAAUUUGGUAUAACUCCAAUUACUCAGGUAUGAUCCAAUUCAAGGACAUUGCCAGGUAGGGAGUUUGACUGGGGCGGUACAUCUCUCAAAUAAUAACGGAGGUGUCCCAAGGCCAGCUCAGUGCGGACAGAAACCACACAUAGAGCAAAAGGGCAAAUGCUGACUUGAUCUCGGUGUUCAGUACACACAGGGACAGCAAAAGCUCGGCCUAUCGAUCCUUUUGGUUUAAAGAGUUUUUAACAAGAGGUGUCAGAAAAGUUACCAUAGGGAUAACUGGCUUGUGGCGGCCAAGCGUUCAUAGCGACGUCGCUUUUUGAUCCUUCGAUGUCGGCUCUUCCUAUCAUUGUGAAGCAAAAUUCACCAAGCGUUGGAUUGUUCACCCAUGCAAGGGAACGUGAGCUGGGUUUAGACCGUCGUGAGACAGGUUAGUUUUACCCUACUAAUGACAAAACGUUGUUGCGACAGCAUUCCUGCGUAGUACGAGAGGAACCGCAGGUACGGACCAAUGGCACAAUACUUGUUCGAGCGAACAGUGGUAUGACGCUACGUCCGUUGGAUUAUGCCUGAACGCCUCUAAGGUCGUAUCCGUGCUGGACUGCAAUGAUAAAUAAGGGGCAAUUUGCAUUGU